GGUACCUUGGCCGAGCGGUUUAAGGCGUGAGACUUAACCUCUUAUAUCCCCUAGGAUGCGUAGGUUCGAAUCCUACAGGUACUA
The sequence is a transfer RNA, 84 nucleotides long. It matches the Rfam family "tRNA". Rfam says of the family: Transfer RNA (tRNA) molecules are approximately 80 nucleotides in length. Their secondary structure includes four short double-helical elements and three loops (D, anti-codon, and T loops). The record is from Rfam.